RNAcentral lists this long non-coding RNA (277 nucleotides) under Capsicum annuum. RNAcentral describes it as "long non-coding RNA (CANN_LNC021307)". The record is from RNAcentral. Lineage: Eukaryota; Viridiplantae; Streptophyta; Magnoliopsida; Solanales; Solanaceae.
GAGUUCACAAAAGUUAGUAAAAAAGAGAGUUUAUUAAUUGAAGGGAGGUAUUCUUUUUGUGGAACUUUGAACUUAACUCUUGUCCAGAGUUGUUCUUGUGAGAAGACUAUUGAAUCCUAGAGAGGACAAGUCAAGAAGAUUACUGCUAGAUCGGUGAAAUAAUUUUUUGCAAUGGACUUGAAUCACCUUGAAGAGAGUGAGAUAUCCACGUCUCAUCCAAAGAAGAAGAUAUUUUUUUUUUAUUUUCUUCACUUGUAAUUUUCAGUUGUAAUUUUAU